Molecule: ribosomal RNA, 443 nt
Filed under: uncultured Oscillospiraceae bacterium
Lineage: Bacteria; Bacillati; Bacillota; Clostridia; Eubacteriales; Oscillospiraceae
Description: bacterial SSU rRNA
Rfam family: Bacterial small subunit ribosomal RNA
Source: RNAcentral
CCUACGGGGGGCUGCAGUGGGGAAUAUUGGGCAAUGGGCGCAAGCCUGACCCAGCAACGCCGCGUGAAGGAAGAAGGCUUUCGGGUUGUAAACUUCUUUUGGCAGGGACGAAACAAAUGACGGUACCUGCAGAAUAAGCUCCGGCUAACUACGUGCCAGCAGCCGCGGUAAUACGUAGGGAGCAAGCGUUAUCCGGAUUUACUGGGUGUAAAGGGCGCGUAGGCGGGAAUGCAAGUCAGAUGUGAAAUCUGGGGGCUCAACCCCCAAACUGCAUUUGAAACUGUAUUUCUUGAGUGAUGGAGAGGCAAGUGGAAUUCCUAGUGUAGCGGUGAAAUGCGUAGAUAUUAGGAGGAACACCAGUGGCGAAGGCGACUUGCUGGACAUUAACUGACGCUGAGGCGCGAAAGCGUGGGGAGCAAACAGGCUUAGAUACCCCAGUAGUC